Molecule: ribosomal RNA, 492 nt
Filed under: uncultured bacterium
Lineage: Bacteria
Description: partial 16S ribosomal RNA
Rfam family: Bacterial small subunit ribosomal RNA
Source: RNAcentral
AGUGAACGCUGGCGGUAGGCCUAACACAUGCAAGUCGAACGGCAGCACAGUAAGAGCUUGCUCUUACGGGUGGCGAGUGGCGGACGGGUGAGGAAUACAUCGGAAUCUACUUUUUCGUGGGGGAUAACGUAGGGAAACCUACGCUAAUACCGCAUACGACCUGCGGGUGAAAGCAGGGGAUCUUCGGACCUUGCGCGAUUGAAUGAGCCGAUGUCGGAUUAGCUAGUUGGCGGGGUAAAGGCCCACCAAGGCGACGAUCCGUAGCUGGUCUGAGAGGAUGAUCAGCCACACUGGAACUGAGACACGGUCCAGACUCCUACGGGAGGCAGCAGUGGGGAAUAUUGGACAAUGGGCGCAAGCCUGAUCCAGCCAUACCGCGUGGGUGAAGAAGGCCUUCGGGUUGUAAAGCCCUUUUGUUGGGAAAGAAAAGCAGCAGGUUAAUACCCCGCUGUUCUGACGGUACCCAAAGAAUAAGCACCGGCUAACUUCGUG